AGUGAGCGCUGGCGGUAGGCCUAACACAUGCAAGACGAACGGCAGCACAGAGGAGCUUGCUCCUUGGGUGGCGAGUGGCGGACGGGUGAGGAAUACAUCGGAAUCUACUCUGUCGUGGGGGAUAACGUAGGGAAACUUACGCUAAUACCGCAUACGACCUACGGGUGAAAGCAGGGGACCUUCGGGCCUUGCGCGAUUGAAUGAGCCGAUGUCGGAUUAGCUAGUUGGCGGGGUAAAGGCCCACCAAGGCGACGAUCCGUAGCUGGUCUGAGAGGAUGAUCAGCCACACUGGAACUGAGACACGGUCCAGACUCCUACGGGAGGCAGCAGUGGGGAAUAUUGGACAAUGGGCGCAGGCCUGAUCCAGCCAUACCGCGUGGGUGAAGAAGGCCUUCGGGUUGUAAAGCCCUUUUGUUGGGAAAGAAAUCCAGCUGGCUAAUACCCGGUUGGGAUGACGGUACCCAAGGAAUAAGCACCGGCUAACUUCGUGCCAGCCGCCGCAGUAA
Molecule: ribosomal RNA, 506 nt
Filed under: uncultured bacterium
Lineage: Bacteria
Description: partial 16S ribosomal RNA
Rfam family: Bacterial small subunit ribosomal RNA
Source: RNAcentral